UCCCUACUGGCCGCUCGAAGCUUGAAGCUGCAGUUCACUUUCGCGAAUGAGUCCCAGGACACCGGAACCAGGACUCCCCGGCGCACCCGGAGAGUUUCCGAGCUCCUUUGAAGUAUGAAUCAGAACUUCUGGAUGGGAAUCCUGGAGCCACCACUUGCCCUAUGGUCGCAAUGGGCAAGUCGCUCAACCUCCCAGAUCCUGUUUUCUCAUGAGUAAAACGGGGAUUAUAAUACCCACCUGACAAUAUUAUUUUUGUGAGAAUUAAAUGAGUUUAGAAUGUAA
This 282-nucleotide long non-coding RNA is filed under the name Homo sapiens (human). RNAcentral's name for it is "HSALNT0295716". The record is from RNAcentral. Lineage: Eukaryota; Metazoa; Chordata; Mammalia; Primates; Hominidae.